AUUGAAGUCAGUCAUGCCGGUGGGAAAUCAGCUCAUAGGCUACUUUGAGUGCACUUUCUCGCAAGGCAGGUUAACAUCGGUUUCAGUUGCGUUAUAAUGAUGGUGGGAAGGUAGCUCCCUCGGGAGUGUUAUAGCCCGCUAUAGAUGGCGUGACAGAGAUCGAGGAUUGCAGCGAAUGCCUUUAGGCUUCGGGUCUGGUCUCUGUGAAGGGUCAUUUCUUAUGUCAGCAUGCUGACGUAAGAGAUGCUUUUUACAAUAGGUUCAGAACUCGAUAAAUUCGUUAAGGAUGUUGACGUA
Molecule: ribosomal RNA, 297 nt
Filed under: uncultured Glomeromycotina
Lineage: Eukaryota; Fungi; Glomeromycota
Description: partial 25S ribosomal RNA
Source: RNAcentral